UCCAGCAGCCCAUGGGUAUAGCCCUC
Molecule: non-coding RNA, 26 nt
Filed under: Homo sapiens (human)
Lineage: Eukaryota; Metazoa; Chordata; Mammalia; Primates; Hominidae
Source: RNAcentral